UCAGGAUGAACGCUAGCUACAGGCUUAACACAUGCAAGUCAGGGGCAGCAUGUGGUUGCUUGCAACCAAUGAUGGCGACCGGCGCACGGGUGAGUAACGCGUAUCCAACUCCCCUUAGUAGAGGAUAGCCCGGCGAAAGUCGGAUUAAUACUCUAUGUUCUUCAAUGCGGACAUCUAAGUUGAAGCAAAGAUUUAUCGCUAAGGGAUGGGGAUGCGUCUGAUUAGGUUGCAGGCGGGUAACGGCCCACCUGGCCUACGAUCAGUAGGGGUUCUGAGAGGAAGGUCCCCCACACUGGUACUGAGACACGGACCAGACUCCUACGGGAGGCAGCAGUGAGGAAUAUUGGUCAAUGGGCGCGAGCCUGAACCAGCCAAGUAGCGUGCCAGGAUGACGGCCCUAUGGGUUGUAAACUGCUUUUAUCAGGGGAUAAAGUCGGCUACGCGUAGCCGUUUGUAGGUACCUGAUGAAUAAGGACCGGCUAAUUCCGUGCCAGCAGCGGC
This 501-nucleotide ribosomal RNA is filed under the name uncultured bacterium. RNAcentral's name for it is "bacterial SSU rRNA". It matches the Rfam family "Bacterial small subunit ribosomal RNA", at positions 24 to 518 of the family's 1533-position model. The record is from RNAcentral.